This 3410-nucleotide ribosomal RNA is filed under the name activated sludge metagenome. Its description in RNAcentral is "bacterial LSU rRNA". It matches the Rfam family "Bacterial large subunit ribosomal RNA". The record is from RNAcentral.
GGACGAAAUAAGGGCGUAUGGUGGAUGCCCUGACUAGAAAAGGCGAUGAAGGACGUGGCGUAGCUGCGAUAAGUCUCGGGGAGGUGCGUAGCAACCUUUGAUCCGGGAAUUUCCGAAUGGGGAAACCUAACGCUGAAAACCAGCGUUGCAUGCUGCGUAAAAACAGCAUGAGCAGACCCGCUGAAGUGAAACAUCUCAGUAAGCGGAGGAAAAGAAAACAAUGUCUCGAAUUUCGAGAUAACUAUUUCCUUAGUAGCGGCGAGCGAAAAGGAAAGAGCCCAAACCUACUUUGUGCUUUUGCGCAGGGUAGGGGUUGCAAGACAAAUACGCUUUUUUAAUUAUCUUUUAGAUUCAACUCGAGUGUUAAAAGAUUAUUAAAAAGUGGGAGAGUCACAAAUUUUUUGGUUAGCUGAAUGAAAUGGAAAGUUCAACCAAAGAAGGUGAUAGUCCUGUAGGCGAAAACCAAAAAACUCUCUAGUAUUUGUUCUUAAGUACUUCGAGAAAAGAAAACCUCGGAGGAAGCUGCCAGAACUAAACUGGCAAGGCUAAAUACUUUUCUAGAUCGAUAGCGGACCAGUACCGUGAGGGAACGGUGAAAAGUAGGCCGGUGAGGCCGGUGAAAUAGAACCUGAAACCAUACGCUUACAAGGAUACGAAGCGCGGAGCGCUUCGCGCCGAAUGCAAAAUGCAAAAUCAAAAUGUAAAAUUUAGGUAUCUCUUCGGGAUAAAUUUAUAAAUUUAUCAUCGAAGGUGAUAUUUAAUUUUGACUUUUGAAUUUUGACUUUUGAAUUCGUUACGCGGAGCGCAUUGGACGUGAAGCGCUCCGCGUAACGUAGUGCCUAUUGAAGAAUGAGCCAACGAGUGUAUAGAUGCUGCUUUGGUUAAUCCUGCUCAGCGGGAGAAGCCAUAGGGAAACCGAGAUUUAAUAGAUCGUCCAUCUUUUCUUCGCAGUAAAUUUAUUUUUGCUGCGAAGAGAUGAUGAGGUAGCAUUUAUACGACCCGAAGCCAAGCGAGCUUAUCAUGGCCAGGGUGAACUUCGGCGAAAGCCGAAGGGAGGCCCGAACCGGUUGGUUGUGCAAAACCUUCGGAUGAGCUGUGGUAAGUAGUGAAAAGCUAAUCGAGCUUGGUAAUAGCUGGUUCUCUCCGAAAUAGCUUUAGGGCUAGCAAUCAUCUAUUCAAUUUUUGGGGGUAGAGCUACUGGUUUAAUCGUAAAGGGCGAAAGCUCGGCGAUUAAGUCAAACUCCGAAUACCAAAAACGAGGAUGAUCAGUAAGACUACGGGGGCUAAGCUUCGUGGUCAAAAGGGCAAGAACCCUGAUCGCCGUCUAAAGCCUCUAAAUCUUGGUUAAGUGUUAAAGGAAGUGAUUAGCCGAAGACAGAUAGGAUGUUGGCUUAGAGGUAGCCAUCAUUUAAAGAGUGUGUAACAACUCACUAUCAUAUUCCGACUUCGGUCGGAAUUGGCUGAUCGCGCCUAAAAUGUAGCGAGGCUUAAACCAAGUGCUGAAGACGCGACUUCUUGUGUUUUGCACAAGAGGGGUAGGAGAGCAUCCCAACAUCAGUGAAGUAGGAUUCGCGAGAACCUAUGGAGAGGUUGGGAGAGAGAAUGUUGGCAUGAGUAACCGCAUUCCCAAUGAGAAAUUGGGACGCCGAAAAUCCAAGGUUUCCGUGGCAAUGGCAAUCAACCACGGGUUAGGCGAGCCUAAGGCAAUGGCGAAAGCCGCAGCUGAUGGAUAGCUGGUUAAUAUUCCAGCCCUUCCUAUAAAUUCGAUGGAGGGACGAAGGAAAAAGAUCUGAGCGUCUUAAUGGUUUGACGUUCUUGGUGAGUAGAAAUGUUUGCUAGGUAAAUCCGGCAAACUGUCUUUAAUGACAAAUUUCAAUCAUCGAGAAAAUUUCGCUUCGGCGGAAAAUUCAGAAGCAGAGCCUUCCGAGAAAAACUUCUAAGGUUAAUUUAUAGGAAUUCGUACCGGAAACCGAAACAGGUGGAUAGGUGUAAGUGCACUAAGGCGAACGGGUGAUUCCUCGUUAAGGAACUCGGCAAAAAAGCGGCCGUAAGUUCGCGAUAAGGCCUGACCAUCUUGUGCUUCGCACAAGGAAAUUCGAAGUAUGAAUAUCGAAUUCAAAAACAGCCAAUUAAAUCUAGAACUUUUUAGAGAUUUGAAUUUCUGUCAUUUGGAUUUUCUUGUGCGGAGUGCGAGGUGGCCCGCAGCUAAAGAACCUCUGGCGACUGUUUAAUAAAAACACAGGUCCCUGCUAACUCGUAAGAGGAUGUAUAGGGGCUGACGCCUGACCGAUGCGAGAAGGUCAAGAGCGACAGUUGAUUUGUCGCAAGACAAAUCAGCCGAUCGCUUUAAGCCCUCGUCAAUGUCGGCGGUAACUAUAACCGUCCAAAGGUAGCGCAAUUCCUUGUCGGGUAAGUUCCGACGCGCAUGAAUGGCGUAACGAUCAGAGGACUGUCUCAACGAGGAGCCCGGUGAAAAUGCGAUUCCAGCGAAGACGCUGGGUACCUGCAACAAGACGAAAAGACCCCGGGAGCUUUACUGUAGCUUGAUAUUGGGUUUAAGUUGUUGCUGCGUAGCAUAGGUGGGAGACGUUGAAGCUCCGAUUCCGGUCGGAGUGGAGUCGCCAGUGAAAUACCACUCUGUAACAACUUAAAUUCUAACCUCAGUGGUUAAAACGCUGGGGGACAGUGUCUGGCGGGCAGUUUUUCUGGGGCGGAAUCCUCCUAAAAGGUAACGGAGGAGUUUAUUAAGGUCGGCUAGGUGCGGAUGGAAAUCGCACUGGUCGUGUAAAGGCAUAAGCCGGCUUAACUGUGAGGCUCACACGCCAAACUCGAGUUUGUAAAAACUCGACGGUCCGUAAUUUUUAUUUACGGAUUGAGAUGCGAAAGCAGAACUUAGUGACCCGACGGUUCUUUUUAGAACGGCCGGAGACAUCGGACAAAAGCUACCCCGGGGAUAACAGGCUGGUCAGAUCCGAGAGUCCCUAUCGACGAUCUGGUUCGGCACCUCGAUGUCGGCUCAUCCUAGCGCGGGGCUGGAGAAGGUCCCAAGCGUUUGGCUGUUCGCCAAUUAAAAGGAUACGCGAGCUGGGUUUAAACCGUCGUGAGACAGGUUGGUCUCUACCUGUUGCAGGCGUUGACACUUGAAGGAGGUUGACCCUAGUACGAGAGGACCGGGUUGAACGAACCUCUGGUGUACCGGCUUUUCCACCAGGAGAAUUGUCGGGUAGCUAUGUUCGGUCGGGAUAAGCGCUGAAAGCAUCUAAGCGCGAAGCCCAUCCUAAGAUUAGGUGUCAUUUCACCCCCUAGAAGAUGACUAGGUCCGACGCAAGUCGGGAUUCCAAUUCGAAAGAGUUGGAAUUGAUAGGCGUCAGGUGUAAGAUUCGUAAGAAUUUGAGCCGAGACGUACUAAU